AGGGCAAGUCUGGUGCCAGCAGCCGCGGUAAUUCCAGCUCCAAUAGCGUAUAUUAAAGUUGUUGCAGUUAAAAAGCUCGUAGUUGAAUUUCGGGGUCAGCAGGUUGGUCGUGCCAAUGGUAUGCACUGGCCUUGCUGAUUCCUCCCUCUUGAUGAGCCGUAAUGCCAUUAAUUUGGUGUUGUGGGGAAUCAGGACUGCUACUUUGAAGAAAUUAGAGCGUUUAAAGCAGGCAAGCGCUUGAAUACAUUAGCAUGGAAUAAUGAAAUAGGACGUUCGAUCCUAUUUUGUUGGUUUCUAGGAUUGACGUAAUGAUUAAUAGGGAUAGUUGGGGGCAUUAGUAUUCAAUUGUCAGAGGUGAAAUUCUUGGAUUUAUUGAAGACUAACUACUGCGAAAGCAUUUGCCAAGGAUGUUUUCAUUAAUCAAGAACGAAAGUUAGGGGAUCGAAGACGAUCAGAUACCGUCGUAGUCUUAACCAUAAACUAUGCCGACUAGGGAUCGGAUGAUGUUAAUUUUUUAAUGACUCAUUCGGCGCCUUACGGGAA
Molecule: ribosomal RNA, 543 nt
Filed under: uncultured Glomeromycotina
Lineage: Eukaryota; Fungi; Glomeromycota
Description: SSU rRNA
Rfam family: Eukaryotic small subunit ribosomal RNA
Source: RNAcentral